GUGGGGAAUAUUGCACAAUGGGGGAAACCCUGAUGCAGCGACGCCGCGUGAAGGAUGAAGUAUUUCGGUAUGUAAACUUCUAUCAGCAAGGAAGAAAAUGACGGUACUUGACUAAGAAGCCCCGGCUAAAUACGUGCCAGCAGCCGCGGUAAUACGUAUGGGGCAAGCGUUAUCCGGAUUUACUGGGUGUAAAGGGAGCGUAGGCGGCAUGGCAAGUCAGAAGUGAAAGCCUGGGGCUCAACCCUGGAAUUGCUUUUGAAACUGUCAAGCUAGAGUGUCGGAGGGGUAAGUGGAAUUCCUAGUGUAGCGGUGAAAUGCGUAGAUAUUAGGAGGAACACCAGUGGCGAAGGCGGCUUACUGGACGACUACUGACGCUGAGGCUCGAAAGCGUGGGGAGCAAACAGG
This 405-nucleotide ribosomal RNA is filed under the name uncultured rumen bacterium. Its description in RNAcentral is "bacterial SSU rRNA". It matches the Rfam family "Bacterial small subunit ribosomal RNA", at positions 354 to 776 of the family's 1533-position model. The record is from RNAcentral.